CAGGCGGUUAUGCAAGACAGAUGUGAAAUCCCGGAGCUCAACUCCGGAACUGCCUUUGAUACUGGCAAGCUAGAGUCCGGAAGAGGUGAGUGGAACUCCUAGUGUAGAGGUGGAAUUCGUAGAUAUUAGGAAGAACACCAGUGGCGAAGGCGGCUCACUGGUCCGGUACUGACGCUGAGGUGCGAAAGCGUGGGGAGCAA
RNAcentral lists this ribosomal RNA (200 nucleotides) under uncultured bacterium. RNAcentral describes it as "partial 16S ribosomal RNA". It matches the Rfam family "Bacterial small subunit ribosomal RNA", at positions 572 to 771 of the family's 1533-position model. The record is from RNAcentral.